AUGCUUGCAUAAAUGAUUUUUGGAUUCGGAGCGAGUGGCGAACUGGUGAGUAACACGUGGGUAACCUGCCCCGAAGCGGGGGAUAACAUUUGGAAACAAGUGCUAAUACCGCAUAAUUAGUUGGAACCGCAUGGUUCCAACUUGAAAGAUGGCUCUGCUAUCACUUUGGGAUGGACCCGCGCCGUAUUAGUUAGUUGGUGAGAUAAAAGCCCACCAAGACGAUGAUACGUAGCCGACCUGAGAGGGUAAUCGGCCACAUUGGGACUGAGACACGGCCCAGACUCCUACGGGAGGCAGCAGUAGGGAAUCUUCCACAAUGGACGAAAGUCUGAUGGAGCAACGCCGCGUGAGUGAUGAAGGUUUUCGGAUCGUAAAACUCUGUUGUUAAAGAAGAACAAGUGUUAGAGUAACUGUUAACACUUUGACGGUAUUUAACCAGAAAGCCACGGCUAACUACGUGCCAGCAGCCGCGGUAAUACGUAGGUGGCAAGCGUUGUCCGGAUUUAUUGGGCGUAAAGCGAGCGCAGGCGGUUUUGUAAGUCUGCUGUGAAAGCCCUCAGCUCAACUGAGGAAGUGCAGUGGAAACUACAAAACUUGAGUACAGAAGAGGAAAGUGGAACUCCAUGUGUAGCGGUGAAAUGCGUAGAUAUAUGGAAGAACACCAGUGGCGAAGGCGGCUUUCUGGUCUGUUACUGACGCUGAGGCUCGAAAGCAUGGGUAGCGAACAGGAUUAGAUACCCUGGUAGUCCAUGCCGUAAACGAUGAAUACUAGGUGUUGGGAGGGUUUCCGCCCUUCAGUGCCGCAGCUAACGCAUUAAGUAUUCCGCCUGGGGAGUACGACCGCAAGGUUGAAACUCAAAGGAAUUGACGGGGGCCCGCACAAGUGGUGGAGCAUGUGGUUUAAUUCGAUGCUACGCGAAGAACCUUACCAGCUCUUGACAUCUUCUGCCAACCCAAGAGAUUGGGCGUUCCCUUCGGGGACAGAAUGACAGGUGGUGCAUGGUUGUCGUCAGCUCGUGUCGUGAGAUGUUGGGUUAAGUCCCGCAACGAGCGCAACCCUUAUUAUUAGUUGCCAGCAUUUAGUUGGGCACUCUAGUGAGACUGCCGGUGAUAAACCGGAGGAAGGUGGGGACGACGUCAAAUCAUCAUGCCCCUUAUGAGCUGGGCUACACACGUGCUACAAUGGAUGGUACAACGAGUCGCGAAACCGCGAGGUCAAGCUAAUCUCUUAAAGCCAUUCUCAGUUCGGAUUGCAGGCUGCAACUCGCCUGCAUGAAGUUGGAAUCACUAGUAAUCGUUGAUCAGCAUGCCACGGUGAAUACGUUCCCGGGCCUUGUACACACCGCCCGUCACACCAUGAGAGUUUGUAACACCCAA
RNAcentral lists this ribosomal RNA (1377 nucleotides) under Apilactobacillus sp. RNAcentral describes it as "bacterial SSU rRNA". It matches the Rfam family "Bacterial small subunit ribosomal RNA", at positions 64 to 1424 of the family's 1533-position model. The record is from RNAcentral. Lineage: Bacteria; Bacillati; Bacillota; Bacilli; Lactobacillales; Lactobacillaceae.